Episyrphus balteatus (marmalade hoverfly) is the source of this 841-nucleotide long non-coding RNA. RefSeq lists it as uncharacterized. The record is from RefSeq and is a predicted model, not a curated record. NCBI's taxonomy places the organism in Eukaryota, Metazoa, Arthropoda, Insecta, Diptera, Syrphidae. The transcript has 2 exons.
GCGCAACAACCGUAUCAAACCCUAUAGCGAUGCAUUUUUGCAUAAUGCAUUAAUUAUAAUAGCCAUUGGAUAUUCUUUCUGAAGUCGAUUUAUUCCAUAACCGUAACCCUAGACCCACCAGAGGUCUAGGUUCUUUAUAAUAAUGCAUAUUAUGCACAAAUAAACAUAUUGCCACUUGGAUACUCGCGUAAUGGGUAGAAUAAUGUAGAAUACAACAUUUGUUUUCCUGCCGCCCACCAAACAAACCUGAUUUGGAUUUGAAACUAUACGAAUACAAUAAAAGUGUUAACAUUGAGAUCAUGGGACAAGUUGAUCAUAUUACACCUAUGGGAUAAAUUGCAAUACAAUGUGAUUUAUAUAUAGAUUCAGAGGUAACUAAAUAUAGUUACAUAUAAAAUCAGCUGCAUAAAAAUGAUGCAAUUGUUUAAUAUAAUUACAAUACGAUGGCAAAUACUAUAUAACCAUUCUAUUUUUCUGGAUACGAAUCAUAUUUGAAUCGACAAUCAGUCAACUCAGAAACUCCAAUCCAAUUCAAUCAUGAAGGUCAUCAUUUUCUUCGCUCUCGUCUGCCUUGCCAUUGCUUCAGCAUCAGUCAUUGGACCAUUGGGCGUUGGUAGCAUAGCUGUUUCACCAUUGGGAGUUCCAUUGGCUGGACCCGUUGUUGUCGGAGGACACGGACUUGUUGCACCAGGACUUGUCGGACUCGGUGGACUUAGAGUUAUUGGUUAAUCGAUAUACAAAUAACUACAUAGACAAAAUCCAAAAAAAAUGCACUCUUACAUACUUCACUUCACACCAUUUCCUGUUUUAAUAAAAGAAAAUUGCUUUUGAUGUUUUUAAA